This 519-nucleotide ribosomal RNA is filed under the name uncultured eukaryote. Its description in RNAcentral is "SSU rRNA". It matches the Rfam family "Eukaryotic small subunit ribosomal RNA", at positions 1161 to 1694 of the family's 1831-position model. The record is from RNAcentral.
AGGGCACCACCAGGAGUGGAGCCUGCGGCUUAAUUUGACUCAACACGGGAAACCUCACCCGGCCCGGACACGGACAGGAUUGACAGAUCGAUAGCUCUUUCUCGAUUCCGUGGGUGGUGGUGCAUGGCCGUUCUUAGUUGGUGGAGCGAUUUGUCUGGUUAAUUCCGAUAACGAACGAGACUCUGGCAUGCUAACUAGUUACGCGACCCCCCGAGCGGUCGGCGUCCCCCAACUUCUUAGAGGGACAAGUGGCGUUCAGCCACCCGAGAUUGAGCAAUAACAGGUCUGUGAUGCCCUUAGAUGUCCGGGGCUGCACGCGCGCUACACUGACUGGCUCAGCGUGUGCCUACCCUACGCCGGCAGGCGCGGGUAACCCGUUGAACCCCAUUCGUGAUGGGGAUCGGGGAUUGCAAUUAUUCCCCAUGAACGAGGAAUUCCCAGUAAGUGCGGGUCAUAAGCUUGCGUUGAUUAAGUCCCUGCCCUUUGUACACACCGCCCCGUCGCUACUACCGAAUGGAU